AUAAAAAACCAAUGCCCUUCGGGGCUCCUUGGUGAUUCAUGAUAACUUAACGAAUCGCAUGGCCUUGUGCCGGCGAUGGUUCAUUCAAAUUUCUGCCCUAUCAACUUUCGAUGGUAGGAUAGUGGCCUACCAUGGUUUCAACGGGUAACGGGGAAUUAGGGUUCUAUUCCGGAGAGGGAGCCUGAGAAACGGCUACCACAUCCAAGGAAGGCAGCAGGCGCGCAAAUUACCCAAUCCCGACACGGGGAGGUAGUGACAAUAAAUACUGAUACAGGGCUCUUUUGGGUCUUGUAAUUGGAAUGAGUACAAUUUGAAUCCCUUAACGAGGAACAAUUGGAGGGCAAGUCUGGUGCCAGCAGCCGCGGUAAUUCCAGCUCCAAUAGCGUAUAUUAAAGUUGUUGCAGUUAAAAAGCUCGUAGUUGAACCUUGGGCCUGGCUGGCCGGUCCGCCUCACCGCGUGCACUGGUCCGGCCGGGCCUUUCCUCCUGGGGAGCCGCAUGCCCUUCACUGGGUGUGUC
RNAcentral lists this ribosomal RNA (518 nucleotides) under uncultured fungus. Its description in RNAcentral is "SSU rRNA". It matches the Rfam family "Eukaryotic small subunit ribosomal RNA", at positions 214 to 732 of the family's 1831-position model. Lineage: Eukaryota; Fungi. The record is from RNAcentral.